GAUGAACGCUGGCGGCGUGCCUAAUACAUGCAAGUCGAGCGAACGGACGAGAAGCUUGCUUCUCUGAUGUUAGCGGCGGACGGGUGAGUAACACGUGGAUAACCUACCUAUAAGACUGGGAUAACUUCGGGAAACCGGAGCUAAUACCGGAUAAUAUUUUGAACCGCAUGGUUCAAAAGUGAAAGACGGUCUUGCUGUCACUUAUAGAUGGAUCCGCGCUGCAUUAGCUAGUUGGUAAGGUAACGGCUUACCAAGGCAACGAUGCAUAGCCGACCUGAGAGGGUGAUCGGCCACACUGGAACUGAGACACGGUCCAGACUCCUACGGGAGACAGCAGUAGGGAAUCUUCCGCAAUGGGCGAAAGCCUGACGGAGCAACGCCGCGUGAGUGAUGAAGGUCUUCGGAUCGUAAAACUCUGUUAUUAGGGAAGAACAUAUGUGUAAGUAACUGUGCACAUCUUGACGGUACCUAAUCAGAAAGCCACGGCUAACUACGUG
This 497-nucleotide ribosomal RNA is filed under the name uncultured bacterium. RNAcentral describes it as "partial 16S ribosomal RNA". It matches the Rfam family "Bacterial small subunit ribosomal RNA", at positions 28 to 507 of the family's 1533-position model. The record is from RNAcentral.